CGCACCCUAAAUCCAUAUGCCGCCGCCGCCACCAUCCAUUCCCCCACCGCCACCAUCCACCGCGCUGCCUCCAUCUCCGCCCCCAGCCACCUCUUCGCCCUUCCCAGCCUCACUCCCCCAGCCAGGGAAGGACAGUGGAGCGCGGAUCCGCCGCCUCCCGUCCUCGGUAACGAUGGCGGCGCAUGAAUCCAGCGGCCUCCGUCCUCGGGAACGGCCUGGAGCACGCGGAUCCGCCCUCCGGAGCGGCGGCGGUGUGCUUAGGCAGGCGGGAGCGAGCAGCUACGGCGGCGGCGGAGGCUACGGCGACGACGGCGCCGGUGGCUGCAACGACGACGACGGCGCCGAUAGCUGCGACGACGACAAUGACGAUGACCAGCGGCAGGUCGGCGGCUUGCAAUCGCGGGGCGGGCAGGUGGCGCGGGGCCGCGGGGCCGCGGGGGCGCGCCGGCGCGGGGGCCUCCUCGCCGCCCUCGACCGUCGACGCCCCGCACCACCUCCUCGCCGCUCACGACCGCCUCCUAGCGCGGAGGCUUCGGACGCUCGUCGUCAGCCAACGGUGGUUCGAGGACUGCCUCAAGGAGGGGAGGCGCCUCCCCAAGAAACCCUACAUGUUGGAAAGUGGUGAAGAAGCAGGGCUAGUCCCUGAGCUGCCCACUUUCCCGCGUUCACGAUCCAAGAAAAAUGCAAGCAUGGAGGAUAUAUGCUUGAAAGAAUUACCUGAUGAUUUCUGCAAUACUUCAUAUACGACCGAUGUGCUUGUGGUUGCUGAUUCAGGUUCUGAUUGCGAGCAUCAGCGAUGGUCUGAUUCCUCCCUACUGAAAGAAGUAAGAACUAUUAUAUCAAUUAUUGUCCUUGCAUGAUUUGAUUUCCUGGUAGAAUCCUUUACUGGGACUACAUUCCACAAGUUAAGUUAUAUUCUGUUCAGUACUAUGGUUUAGCAGACUACAUUUCACCACGACCGCACUAGUUGCUGUUCAGUCAGUUCAGACAACAACCAUGCAAUUGUUUGGCAUACCUGUCUAUUGGCAUUGCUGAAUGCCAAUCAUGGCCUUAUUACCAAGUGAAAAAAGUGCUGGAUGAUGGUGGAUCUGUUUUUUUUUUUUUUCAAGCCAUCCAUGGUAUAAAUAUUAGGGUAUCCAUAAAAACAUAUGCAAAAAAUAUUGUAAAGAUAGGGGACUAAAACAUAUGCAAAAAAAUAUUGUAAAGAUAGGGUGUUCAUUAUACUUAAGAUUGACACUUGCCAUUUCUUUUGUAUGCAUGCAUGUUUUAUUUUUGGUCAUGAGCUCAGGGAAUCGAUCAUUCCUUUUCUGCAUGGUCAACAAGGCCUUUAAUUGCUAGCUUGCUGAUGAAAGUCUAGCAAUUUGGUCCAGAACAAAAAUGUAAGUUUAUGAGGAAUCUGUUUAUUUGGAAAGGAAAAAUUGUUAGUCAGAUGGAGGCUAUAGCCCAAAGUAAUGAUUUUUCUGAAGAAAAGAUUUCUUUAAUUUAGUAAUAUAUAUGUGCAUACUUUGGAGGGUGACCAUAUUUUUUCCUCAUAGUUCCUAGCAAAUAUAUAGAAUUGUCCUCUUUGUUUAAACUUAAUUGAGAAGGCAUUAUGACAAUUUUCAAGUUAAAGCACUAGGGGCUUCCCAUUUGCAGGUGUGAGUCCCCUUCACCUCUGUUUUGUGUUUCUCCUUGACGCGAUCUACACCUUUUUUUUUGGCUUCCAAUUCUUUAAUGGGCUUUGCUCUCCAUCCUGAUCUGUUGUAUGCUUCUUCUGUGAAAUGAAGCUAUAAAAAAGUCCAAAGCAGAGCUUUGCUUCAGAGAUUCUAGAUUCAGUUAUUUUAGCUAUUGUAACAUGUAACGUGCAGCUCUCCAAUUAUGUUCCCUUUUUCGUUACAACAAUUCAGUUUGACUGUGGACCUAGGUUCUAGAAUGUUUUUUGUACCAUGUUUUCAGUUGAAUAAAUAUCCGUAAUCCAUAUGAGACUAUGCAUAAUUUCCAGUGAAGAAAGUACUAUUGAUUGCUACUACAAAUUAAUAGUAGUGUCCUGCUGUAGGUUUAGGAUUCAAGGAAUAAUUGGAUUGUGUUUUUGUAAGGUAACCAGAGUUAGAUAGUAGUUAUCUUCUUUCUGAAAAUGAUGGCAGUGCCAACAUCCAUUAUUUCUAAACUUGAGUUGGAGGCUAAACUUGAGGUUGUUCUUGGUCAAAAUGGAGUAAGCUGAUAGACAUGAUGGUGUUUUUCAACUUUUGCUGCCUUUGCUUCUGGAAUCAAACAACACGUUUCAGGUGCUGCAGGUCCUGCUGGUGGGGGGAACCUGAACUUGGACCAGCAACUUUUUUGCUGCUGAUUUUUUGGUUCAGCAAUUUUUUGCUGCUGAUUUUUGUGGUGCUGCAAGUGUUUUCACCAGUUUGUUGAACCAAAAUUGGGUAUACUUGAAUGUUGUGUGAUUCUUGGACAAGUUGGUAGCUUGGUUCUGCUACACAAAUUUUUGUUGCUUGCUGUUGAACUAUUGUUUGAUACUGGAAGUAUCUGAGACUGUUAUUAGGUUGAAUCUAAGAUGAACUAUUGUUUGAAUUC
Oryza sativa Japonica Group (Japanese rice) is the source of this 2556-nucleotide RNA transcript. RefSeq lists it as uncharacterized. The record is from RefSeq and is a predicted model, not a curated record. Lineage: Eukaryota; Viridiplantae; Streptophyta; Magnoliopsida; Poales; Poaceae.